Long non-coding RNA from Lolium rigidum, 717 nucleotides. RefSeq lists it as uncharacterized. The transcript has 2 exons. NCBI's taxonomy places the organism in Eukaryota, Viridiplantae, Streptophyta, Magnoliopsida, Poales, Poaceae. The record is from RefSeq and is a predicted model, not a curated record.
GAGGAUGCGGGGGCGCGGCGGCGGAGGAUGCGGUGGCCAGUCAUGGAGUCACCACCGCGGCCUGGAGGAAGAAAUUUCGAAGCCCCAGCUCCUUUGCGCUUGUAAAAUCCCACUUAGCAAAAAAACUUCCAAUACCGCGGGGAAUCCAGAUCGAGACUACUACUUCUGCCGAAAAAUAGAAACAAAUGAACCAUACUCAUGCAAGACAUGUUUAUGGGUUGAUCUCGUGACCGAUUACGUCGAGAAGAUGUGCAAGUACAGAACAAGUUUUCUCCAAAAGAAACACGGGCGGGAGCUGUCGACAGUACUGGAAGAGCUUCACCGGAAGCUAGGCUCUCAGCAGAAGGGAGUCAGAGAUGAGGGAUGAGGGUCUAGCCCAGCAGAUAGAGACUAGUGAGUUGCAGUCAUAGAUUUUUGGCUCUACAAUACCAGAUCAAUUUACUCAGCUCAUCUGCCUCAAAUUCAGGAAGCUCCGCAUGGUGAUGAUCUUGUUUGUUGCCAUGUGCUGGUUAUUAGCCCUCGGCUCAAUCCUGAUUACACUUGCUGCAACUGCCGUAACAGCUUUGAUGUUUCUAGUGUAGGCUGUCAUGCAAUGUGGAGUGCCAUUUGUAGCUUUGAUUUUUCAAGUGUAGGUUGUAUCUGUAGUUCUAAUGUUUAUUCAAGAUGUACCUGUGAAUGUUCUUAGCUUAAAUGGAAAGUCAACUUUUCAAUUUUGGA